This 901-nucleotide ribosomal RNA is filed under the name Escherichia coli. Its description in RNAcentral is "bacterial SSU rRNA". It matches the Rfam family "Bacterial small subunit ribosomal RNA", at positions 553 to 1447 of the family's 1533-position model. Lineage: Bacteria; Pseudomonadati; Pseudomonadota; Gammaproteobacteria; Enterobacterales; Enterobacteriaceae. The record is from RNAcentral.
ACUGGGCGUAAAGCGCACGCAGGGCGGUUUGUUAAGUCAGAUGUGAAAAUCCCCGGGCUCAACCGUGGGAACUGCAUCUGAUACUGGCAAAGCUUGAGUCUCGUAGAGGGGGGGUAGAAUUCCAGGUGUAGCGGUGAAAUGCGUAGAGAUCUGGAGGAAUACCGGUGGCGAAGGCGGCCCCCUGGACGAAGACUGACGCUCAGGUGCGAAAGCGUGGGGAGCAAACAGGAUUAGAUACCCUGGUAGUCCACGCCGUAAACGAUGUCGACUUGGAGGUUGUGCCCUUGAGGCGUGGCUUCCGGAGCUAACGCGUUAAGUCGACCGCCUGGGGAGUACGGCCGCAAGGUUAAAACUCAAAUGAAUUGACGGGGGCCCGCACAAGCGGUGGAGCAUGUGGUUUAAUUCGAUGCAACGCGAAGAACCUUACCUGGUCUUGACAUCCACGGAAGUUUUCAGAGAUGAGAAUGUGCCUUCGGGAACCGUGAGACAGGUGCUGCAUGGCUGUCGUCAGCUCGUGUUGUGAAAUGUUGGGUUAAGUCCCGCAACGAGCGCAACCCUUAUCCUUUGUUGCCAGCGGUCCGGCCGGGAACUCAAAGGAGACUGCCAGUGAUAAACUGGAGGAAGGUGGGGAUGACGUCAAGUCAUCAUGGCCCUUACGACCAGGGCUACACACGUGCUACAAUGGCGCAUACAAAGAGAAGCGACCUCGCGAGAGCAAGCGGACCUCAUAAAGUGCGUCGUAGUCCGGAUUGGAGUCUGCAACUCGACUCCAUGAAGUCGGAAUCGCUAGUAAUCGUGGAUCAGAAUGCCACGGUGAAUACGUUCCCGGCCCUUGUACACACCGCCCGUCACACCAUGGGAGUGGGUUGCUAAAAGAUAGUAGGUAGCUUAACCUUCGGGA